This 253-nucleotide ribosomal RNA is filed under the name uncultured bacterium. RNAcentral's name for it is "partial 16S ribosomal RNA". It matches the Rfam family "Bacterial small subunit ribosomal RNA", at positions 524 to 776 of the family's 1533-position model. The record is from RNAcentral.
UACGAAGGGGGCAAGCGUUGUUCGGAAUUACUGGGCGUAAAGAGCGCGCAGGCGGUAUGACAAGUCAGAUGUGAAAGAGGCCGGCUUAACCGGCAAGGGUCAUUUGAAACUGUCAGACUAGAGUGCAGCAGAGGAUAGUGGAAUUCCCGGUGUAGUGGUGAAAUGCGUAGAUAUCGGGAGGAACACCAGUGGCGAAGGCGACUAUCUGGGCUGCAACUGACGCUGAGGCGCGAAGGCUAGGGUAGCAAACAGG